RNAcentral lists this non-coding RNA (30 nucleotides) under Homo sapiens (human). Lineage: Eukaryota; Metazoa; Chordata; Mammalia; Primates; Hominidae. The record is from RNAcentral.
AACUGAGAUACCAAGUACCAAAAGCAGGAC